CGUAGGGUGCAAGCGUUAAUCGGAAUUACUGGGCGUAAAGCGUGCGCAGGCGGUUGUGCAAGACAGUUGUGAAACGUCCCCGGGCUUAACCUGGGAAUUGCAUCUGUGACUGCACGGCUAGAGUGUGUCAGAGGGGGUAGAAUUCCACGUGUAGCAGUGAAAUGCGUAGAUAUGUGGAGGAAUACCGAUGGCGAAGGCAGCCCCCUGGGAUAACACUGACGCUCAUGCACGAAAGCGUGGGGAGCAAACAGGAUUAGAUACCCUGGUAGUCCACGCCCUAAACGAUGUCUACUAGUUGUCGGGUCUUAAUUGACUUGGUAACGCAGCUAACGCGUGAAGUAGACCGCCUGGGGAGUACGGUCGCAAGAUUA
Molecule: ribosomal RNA, 371 nt
Filed under: uncultured organism
Description: bacterial SSU rRNA
Rfam family: Bacterial small subunit ribosomal RNA
Source: RNAcentral